ACCGAAAAGUUAAUAGCUCACUAAACAUCUCAUUUGAACUUUCGACGAGCGGACGUGCUUUACAAACACAAUGAAGGGUGCAGUUAUCAUUUGUUUUUUCUUAGUGACUAUUAUUGCUACUACAUUUUGUAAUCCAGUUCCGACAGAGGAUGUUGAAUAUAGCCAACCGCAAGAAGAACAUGUGAGGGUGAAAAGAUUUACUUGUGACGUGUUGAGCGUAGAAGCUAAAGGAGUCAAACUGAAUGAUGCUGCUUGUGGGAUCCACUGUCUGUUUUUGGGGAAACGAGGGGGAUGGUGCGAUAAUCGAAGAGUUUGCAAUUGUAGAAAAUGAUUCGCCUCAGUUGUUGUUGAUAUGUUAUAAUUCAAUUGAUGAUGAUACAAAUUUUCGUUACGUAUAUCUAUGACCGAUAACUUGCUGAUUUUUUGUUUGCCAAUGGCAUUGUACGACUGUAAAUGACUGGUAAUGCAAUACCUAAGACGAAUAGUUUCAAUUGAAUAAAUUAACUUUCAAAUUGCCACCCGACUGAAAAGGAAGUCAAAUAACUAUCAUAACCAGAAAACAGGUUUGACUUUCAAAGCUAACUAUCACGGUUAUCAGAUAUAGUUUAUCAAUAAAAUGUUCCUAGAUUUUCAA
Molecule: long non-coding RNA, 634 nt
Organism: Leptinotarsa decemlineata (Colorado potato beetle)
Lineage: Eukaryota; Metazoa; Arthropoda; Insecta; Coleoptera; Chrysomelidae
Source: RefSeq, a predicted model, not a curated record